RNAcentral lists this ribosomal RNA (478 nucleotides) under uncultured bacterium. Its description in RNAcentral is "partial 16S ribosomal RNA". It matches the Rfam family "Bacterial small subunit ribosomal RNA", at positions 28 to 523 of the family's 1533-position model. The record is from RNAcentral.
GACGAACGCUGGCGGCGUGCUUAACACAUGCAAGUCGAGCGAUGAAGUUCCUUCGGGAACGGAUUAGCGGCGGACGGGUGAGUAACACGUGGGUAACCUGCCUCAUAGAGGGGAAUAGCCUUUCGAAAGGAAGAUUAAUACCGCAUAAGAUUGUAGUUUCGCAUGAAACAGCAAUUAAAGGAGUAAUCCGCUAUGAGAUGGACCCGCGUCGCAUUAGCUAGUCGGUGAGGUAACGGCUCACCAAGGCGACGAUGCGUAGCCGACCUGAGAGGGUGAUCGGCCACAUUGGGACUGAGACACGGCCCGGACUCCUACGGGAGGCAGCAGUGGGGAAUAUUGCACAAUGGGGGAAACCCUGAUGCAGCAACGCCGCGUGAGUGAUGACGGUCUUCGGAUUGUAAAGCUCUGUCUUUAGGGACGAUAAUGACGGUACCUGAGGAGGAAGCCACGGCUAACUACGUGCCAGCCGCCGCAGUAA